GAUGACAGCAUCUGUCUGAUUUAGUAUGGGCUUUGGAAAUAAACAGAUCAGAUUUUGUUAGUAUUUUGAUGGAAGAUAUCCAGGAAAUACCAGGGCUGUAGGCU
RNAcentral lists this ribosomal RNA (104 nucleotides) under Notechis scutatus (mainland tiger snake). The record is from RNAcentral. Lineage: Eukaryota; Metazoa; Chordata; Lepidosauria; Squamata; Elapidae.